CAGCCGCCACGGGAAUACGGAGGGUGCAAGCGUUAAUCGGAAUUACUGGGCGUAAAGCGUGCGUAGGCGGUUCGUUAAGUCUGUUGUGAAAGCCCCGGGCUCAACCUGGGAAUGGCAAUGGAUACUGGCGAGCUAGAGUGUGUCAGGGGAUGGUGGAAUUCCCGGUGUAGCGGUGAAAUGCGUAGAGAUCGGGAGGAACAUCAGUGGCGAAGGCGGCCAUCUGGGACAACACUGACGCUGAGGCACGAAAGCGUGGGGAGCAAACAGGAUUAGAUACCCCGGUAGUCCCUGUCUCUUAUAC
Molecule: ribosomal RNA, 301 nt
Filed under: uncultured bacterium
Lineage: Bacteria
Description: partial 16S ribosomal RNA
Rfam family: Bacterial small subunit ribosomal RNA
Source: RNAcentral